This 90-nucleotide microRNA precursor is filed under the name Cricetulus griseus (Chinese hamster). RNAcentral describes it as "microRNA cgr-mir-184 precursor". Its record names the gene cgr-mir-184. It matches the Rfam family "mir-184 microRNA precursor family". Lineage: Eukaryota; Metazoa; Chordata; Mammalia; Rodentia; Cricetidae. The record is from miRBase by way of RNAcentral.
UCGCCUGGCAAUCACGUUUCCUUAUCACUUUUCCAGCCAGCUUUGUGACUCUAAGUGUUGGACGGAGAACUGAUAAGGGUAGGUGAUUGG